RNAcentral lists this ribosomal RNA (303 nucleotides) under uncultured eukaryote. Its description in RNAcentral is "partial 18S ribosomal RNA". It matches the Rfam family "Eukaryotic small subunit ribosomal RNA", at positions 1470 to 1796 of the family's 1831-position model. The record is from RNAcentral.
CCCUUAGAUGUUCUGGGCAGCACGCGCGCUACAAUGGUCUUCGCAAACGGAUGCAUUCUUGAAGGAGAAUGCCAAUCUUGGAAUCUAUGCCUUGGUCGGGACAGUUGCUUGCAAUUUUUCGACUCGAACCAGGAAUUCCUUGUAAUCGUGAUUCAUCACAUCACGAUGAAUACGUCCCUGCCCUUUGUACUCACCGCCCGUCGCUCCUACCAAUUUCGAAUGAUCCGGUGAACCUUUUGGAUUGGGUGCAAGCCUAAGAAGUUAAGUAAACCUUAUCAUUUAGAGGAAGGAGAAGUCGUAACA